ACACACACAGAGAGAAGAGAGGAAUGGGCAUAGCCACGUAAAACAGAUAUACUAAAGAUAUAACAACUACACACAGAGAGAAGAGAGGAAUGGGCAUAGCCACGUAAAACAGAUAAACUACACACAGAGAGAAGAGAGGAAUGGGCAUAGCCAUGUAAAACAGAUAUACUAAAGAUAUAACAACUACACACACACACACAGAGAGAAGAGAGAAAUGGGCAUAGCCAUGUAAAACAGGUAUACUAAAGAUAUAACAACUACACACACACACAGAGAGAGAAGAGAGGAAUGGGCAUAGCCACGUAAAACAGGUAUAACAACUACACACACAGAGAGAAGAGAGGAAUGGGCAUAGCCACGUAAAACAGGUAUAACAACCACACACAGAGAGAAGAGAGGAAUGGGCAUAGCCACGUAAAACAGGUAUACUACAGAUAUAACAACUACACACAGACACAGAGAGAGAAGAGAGGAAUGGGCAUAGCCACGUAAAACAGGUAUAACAACUACACACACAGAGAGAAGAGAGGAAUGGGCAUAGCCACGUAAAACAGGUAUACUACACACAGAGAGAAGAUAGGAAUGGGCAUAGCCACGUAAAACAGGUAUAACAACUACACACACAGAGAGAGAAGAGAGGAAUGGGCAUAGCCAUGUAAAACAGGUAUAACAACUACACACACAGAGAGAAGAGAGGAAUGGGCAUAGCCAUGUAAAACAGGUAUAACAACUACACACACAGAGAGAAGAGAGGAAUGGGCAUAGCCAUGUAAAACAGGUAUAACAACUACACACACAGAGAGAAGAGAGGAAUGGGCAUAGCCAUGUAAAACAGGUAUAACAACUACACACACAGAGAGAAGAGAGGAAUGGGCAUAGCCAUGUAAAACAGGUAUAACAACUACACACACAGAGAGAAGAGAGGAAUGGGCAUAGCCAUGUAAAACAGGUAUAACAACUACACACACAGAGAGAAGAGAGGAAUGGGCAUAGCCAUGUAAAACAGGUAUAACAACUACACACACAGAGAGAAGAGAGGAAUGGGCAUAGCCAUGUAAAACAGGUAUAACAACUACACACACAGAGAGAAGAGAGGAAUGGGCAUAGCCAUGUAAAACAGGUAUACUACACACAGAGAGAGAGAAGAGAGAAAUGGGCAUAGCCAUGUAAAACAGGUAUACUAAAGAUAUAACAACUACACACAGAGAGAAGAUAGGAAUGGGCAUAGCCACGUAAAACAGGUAUACUAAAGAUAUAACAACUACACACAGAGAGAAGAGAGGAAUGGGCAUAGCCACGUAAAACAGAUAUACUAAAGAUAUAACAACUACACACAGAGAGAAGAGAGGAAUGGGCAUAGCCACGUAAAACAGAUAUACUAA
Molecule: long non-coding RNA, 1382 nt
Organism: Oncorhynchus keta (chum salmon)
Lineage: Eukaryota; Metazoa; Chordata; Actinopteri; Salmoniformes; Salmonidae
Exons: 4
Source: RefSeq, a predicted model, not a curated record